CACGUAGGGCGCAAGCGUUGUCCGGAAUUAUUGGGCGUAAAGAGCUCGUAGGCGGUCUGUCGCGUCGGCUGUGAAAACCCGUGGCUCAACCCCGGGCCUGCAGUCGAUACGGGCAGACCAGAGUGCGGUAGGGGAGACUGGAAUUCCUGGUGUAGCGGUGAAAUGCGCAGAUAUCAGGAGGAACACCGGUGGCGAAGGCGGGUCUCUGGGCCGUAACUGACGCUGAGGAGCGAAAGCGUGGGGAGCGAACAGG
Molecule: ribosomal RNA, 253 nt
Filed under: uncultured bacterium
Lineage: Bacteria
Description: partial 16S ribosomal RNA
Rfam family: Bacterial small subunit ribosomal RNA
Source: RNAcentral